RNAcentral lists this ribosomal RNA (254 nucleotides) under Cronobacter sakazakii. Its description in RNAcentral is "partial 23S ribosomal RNA". It matches the Rfam family "Bacterial large subunit ribosomal RNA", at positions 1417 to 1673 of the family's 2925-position model. Lineage: Bacteria; Pseudomonadati; Pseudomonadota; Gammaproteobacteria; Enterobacterales; Enterobacteriaceae. The record is from RNAcentral.
GAUGGGAAACAGGUUAAUAUUCCUGUACUUGGUGUUACUGCGAAGGGGGGACGGAGAAGGCUAUGUCGGCCGGGCGACGGUUGUCCCGGUUUAAGCGUGUAGGCUGACUUUCCAGGCAAAUCCGGAAAGUUAAGGCUGAGGCGUGAUGACGAGGCACCACGGUGCUGAAGUGACAAAUGCCCUGCUUCCAGGAAAAGCCUCUAAGCAUCAGGUAACAUCAAAUCGUACCCCAAACCGACACAGGUGGUCAGGUA